Aethalodelphis obliquidens (Pacific white-sided dolphin) is the source of this 1344-nucleotide long non-coding RNA. RefSeq lists it as uncharacterized. Lineage: Eukaryota; Metazoa; Chordata; Mammalia; Artiodactyla; Delphinidae. The transcript is spliced from 3 exons. The record is from RefSeq and is a predicted model, not a curated record.
GUACCGGUAGCACGUACUCACUUCUUUACCUUCGCCGCGGCGGGCCUCGGACUUGCAGCACGUGCACACCUAGAGGAAGACCCGACAGUCAAUCUGGUUGUUUCCGUUGCUGUGCUCAGGGCAUUGUAGUUUGGGUAAUGCUGUCCUUUGUUUCAUUUUCUUUCUCUUGUUUAACAUCAGGAAGCAGCAAUGAAGUGUUACUAAAAGAUCCCUAAAAAAAAAAAAAUCCCUAAAGCUGGAGUUGAAAUUUGCGCUUUGUAACAAAUCAGCUGUGGGGUAUUGGGCAAGUCAGUUAAUCUUCCGUUAGGACCUACUGGUCUGUGAAAACUGGGUGACAUUUGAGACUCAGCCUGUCUCUUCGCGCUGCUGGGAGGACUGUUUGCAAACUGUUGGUGCCCACAGCCCUCCAGGUCCCCGUAGGACAGCCAAGCUGCCUCCUAAGCGUAGUGCCCCAGAGAACCAAAUGAUCCAGCUGAGCACUGGUCCAGCAUCGUCGAAUGAAGUGAAAGAAAGGAACUGGAAAUGGGACAGCAUUUGGGGGGUCAGCUGGAAGGAGAAGUGGGGAAAGGGAAGUUUUGUUGGGUUUUCCCCUCUACCAGCAAUUCCUGAUAAUUCUCUACCUGAAUAUCAUCCCAUCUGACCCCUUUUCUCCAUCCCUACUGUCAUUCACAGAUCAAGAUCAUCUCUUGCUUAAAUGAUUUCUCCAUCUCCAGUUCCCACCCCACCACUUGUGGGAUUAUUCUAAAGUGCAAAUGUGAUCAUUAAAAUGUGUCAUGACUUCCCUGUGCCCCUAAAAUAAGGAAACUCACAUGUCCCUGCUAAACCACAUUGCAGGAGUGACAACCCUUUUUGCCCGUCAACCCUCACUCCUUAUUCCAACGAUCACAGAGAAUAGAUCAGCAAGCUCAACAGCAGAUAUCCAGCCACCGACUGAGAUGCAGUCUCUCCUUGCCAACCCAUCAAUUUCUAUGAGUGGUUCCCUCGGAGACCCCUCGCUCGGGGGAGUGUGCCUACACUGGUGAAGGCCCAUGGUAUUAUCAUUAUUUCAGCCUGACAACCCCACCACAUGCGAUCACGUAAGCUCCCCCAAAUUUCACCUCUGAUUUAUCGUUGUUUCUUCCAUACAUUCUGGCUUAGUGUCUUUUGCAAAAUAGAUGCUCAAAUGUUUGGGGAUGAACAAAUAAAUGAAUUAAUGAAAGAACAAAUGAACAAACUUCAAAGGCUGGGAGAAUAUUGAUUUAGGGUGAUCAGAAUGUAGCAGCUUCCAACAGUGAAGACUUCUGCACAAAGGCCUGAAAGGAGUGGGCUUAAAGAACAGAAAGGGAGGGCUUCCCUGGUGGCGCA